GACGAACGCUGGCGGCGUGCUUAACACAUGCAAGUCGAACGGUGAAGCGCCUUCCUUUUUGGUGGGUGUGGAUGAGUGGCGAACGGGUGAGUAACACGUGAGUAACCUGCCCCCUUCUUCUGGAUAACCGCAUGAAAGUGUGGCUAAUACGGGAUAUUCUGGGUCUGUCGCAUGAUGGGUCUGGGAAAGAUAUUGUUUCGGUGGGGGAUGGGCUCGCGGCCUAUCAGCUUGUUGGUGGGGUGAUGGCCUACCAAGGCGGUGACGGGUAGCCGGCCUGAGAGGGUGGACGGUCACACUGGGAGUGAGACACGGCCCAGACUCCUACGGGAGGCAGCAGUGGGGAAUAUUGCACAAUGGGCGCAAGCCUGAUGCAGCGACGCCGCGUGAGGGAUGGAGGCCUUCGGGUUGUGAACCUCUUUCGCCAGUGAAGCAGGACUGCCUCGUUUGUGGGUGGGUUGACGGUAGCUGGAUAAGAAGCGCCGGCUAACUACGUA
This 494-nucleotide ribosomal RNA is filed under the name uncultured bacterium. Its description in RNAcentral is "partial 16S ribosomal RNA". It matches the Rfam family "Bacterial small subunit ribosomal RNA", at positions 28 to 507 of the family's 1533-position model. The record is from RNAcentral.